AUAACGACUCUCGGCAACGGAUAUCUCGGCUCUCGCAUCGAUGAAGAACGUAGCAAAAUGCGAUACUUGGUGUGAAUUGCAGAAUCCCGUGAAUCAUCGAGUCUUUGAACGCAAGUUGCGCCCGAAGCCUUUAGGCCGAGGGCACGUCUGCCUGGGCGUCAUGCA
RNAcentral lists this ribosomal RNA (165 nucleotides) under Sedum oregonense. RNAcentral describes it as "5.8S ribosomal RNA". It matches the Rfam family "5.8S ribosomal RNA". Rfam says of the family: 5.8S ribosomal RNA (5.8S rRNA) is a component of the large subunit of the eukaryotic ribosome. Lineage: Eukaryota; Viridiplantae; Streptophyta; Magnoliopsida; Saxifragales; Crassulaceae. The record is from RNAcentral.